Molecule: ribosomal RNA, 403 nt
Filed under: uncultured bacterium
Lineage: Bacteria
Description: partial 16S ribosomal RNA
Rfam family: Bacterial small subunit ribosomal RNA
Source: RNAcentral
GACGAACGCUGGCGGCGUGCCUAAUACAUGCAAGUCGAACGCAGUGGGGACGGGUGAUUAACACGUGGGUAACCUCCCAUCAGAGGGGAUAACACUUGGAAACCGGUGCUAAACCGCUACUGAAGUAUGGACCCGCUGUUCAUUAGCUAGUUGGUGAGGUAACGGCUCACCAAGUCCACGAUGCAUAGCGGGCCUGAGAGGGUGAUCGGCAAAACUGGGACUGAGACACGGCCCAGACUCCUACGGGAGGCAGCAGUAGGGAAUCGUCGGCAAUGGACGAAAGUCUGACCGAGCAACGCCGAGUGAGUGAAGAAGGUUUUCGGAUCGUAAAACUCUGUUGUUAGAGAAGCGGUAUCUAACCAGAAAGCCACGGCUAACUACGUGCCAGCAGCCGCGGUAAUAC